UAAGACAGAGGUGGCAAGCGUUGUUCGGAAUUACUGGGCUUAAAGGGCGCGUAGGCGUUUCAAUAAGUCAGAUGUGGAAUCCUCAGGCUUAACCUGGGAAUUGCAUUUGAAACUUUUGGGAUUGAGUAAGGCAUGGGAGGGCAGAAUUCCUGGUGUAGCGGUGAAAUGCGUAGAUAUCAGGAGGAAGGCCUGUGGCGAAGGUGGCCCUCUAGGCCUUAACUGACGCUGAGGCGCGAAAGCGUGGGUAGCAAACAGGAUUAGAUACCCUGGUAGUCCACGCCCUAAACGGUGGGUACUAGGUGUGGGUGGCGACCGUCAUCUGUGCCGAAGGGAAACCAUUAAGUACCCCGCCUGGGGAGUACGGCCGCAAGGUUGAAACUCAAAUGAAUUGACGG
RNAcentral lists this ribosomal RNA (395 nucleotides) under uncultured bacterium. RNAcentral describes it as "bacterial SSU rRNA". It matches the Rfam family "Bacterial small subunit ribosomal RNA", at positions 521 to 916 of the family's 1533-position model. The record is from RNAcentral.